Molecule: long non-coding RNA, 782 nt
Organism: Pleuronectes platessa (European plaice)
Lineage: Eukaryota; Metazoa; Chordata; Actinopteri; Pleuronectiformes; Pleuronectidae
Exons: 2
Source: RefSeq, a predicted model, not a curated record
AUGAGUCUGCAUAUCAUCGCCCGCUUUACACGUCACGACAUUUCACGCUGCAAGCACAAACACACUGGACGUGGCCCCGCUGGGUUGGAAGCCGUCACAACACAAAUAUGCCAAAGCAUGACAGUAAUUAUUUACCGCCAUAAAGUUUUGCUUUUGCUCUGUUUUGCAAAAACUUAACUGAAGGAAACAAGAAAUUGACUGUUGCAUGACAGAAGUAUUAUUGUUGAACAAGCGUUUCAACAGGAAGUCACUGAUCUGAUAUGCAAGUGAUGACGUCACCUGGAAUCAGGGUUUUGUUCGGUGCUUCCUCUUUCGACUCACCUCGUCCUUCUUCAGAAUCUGCUUCAUCUCCUCUCACGCUCGUCAGCAGAACCGCUGAAACACACAGUUUGUUGACUUCAGGCCACAGAAACCAGAUAUUCAGAGCAACAGGAAGGAGGCAACACCACAGAUGAGAGCAGCUCACUCUACCUACAUUACUACUUGCCCUUGCAUCUGUAGUUUGGCAAGAAAAUGUCUAAUAAAAUACAAUAUUGCUUUAAACCUGUUGUGAUGAGUUACAACAGAAGCACAACAAACAUGCAACUUUCACAUAGAGCAGCACUUACAGAAGCAGUGCAUCAGGCAAAAUGUAAUUUUAUUUCUUUCUAGACUAUGGCCUAAAUUAUAUUUGGUGAAAAUAUGUAUUCUAAACGGGAGUUUAACUUGAUUAUGUGGAGAACAAAGUAAAUUACCAAGACAUCAGUUCAUCAAAACAUCUUUGAAUUUUCUCAGGAACAUAA